RNAcentral lists this unclassified non-coding RNA (200 nucleotides) under soil metagenome. RNAcentral's name for it is "partial contains internal transcribed spacer 2 and large subunit ribosomal RNA". The record is from RNAcentral.
CCCGUUCGAGCGUCAUUAAAACCCAUCAAGCCUGGCUUGGUAUUGGGCGUCGGGAUCUCCCCGCGCCCCGAUUUCGCCGGCUGGACGACCCCGAUCUCAAGCGUAGUAAUGAGUCUCGCUGGAAGGACGGGCGGCCAUGCCGUUAACCCUCAUCAAUUCAAGUUGACCUCGGAUCGGGUAGGAAUACCCGCUGAACUUAA